GAGUUUGAUCCUGGCUCAGAUUGAACGCUGGCGGCAGGCCUAACACAUGCAAGUCGAGCGGUAGAGAGAAGCUUGCUUCUCUUGAGAGCGGCGGACGGGUGAGUAAUGCCUAGGAAUCUGCCUGGUAGUGGGGGAUAACGCUCGGAAACGGACGCUAAUACCGCAUACGUCCUACGGGAGAAAGCAGGGGACCUUCGGGCCUUGCGCUAUCAGAUGAGCCUAGGUCGGAUUAGCUAGUUGGUGAGGUAAUGGCUCACCAAGGCGACGAUCCGUAACUGGUCUGAGAGGAUGAUCAGUCACACUGGAACUGAGACACGGUCCAGACUCCUACGGGAGGCCAGCAGUGGGGAAUAUUGGACAAUGGGCGAAAGCCUGAUCCAGCCAUGCCGCGUGUGUGAAGAAGGUCUUCGGAUUGUAAAGCACUUUAAGUUGGAGAAGGGCAGUAAUUAAUACUUUGCUGUUUUGACGUUACCGUACAGAAUAAGCACCGGCUAACUCUGUGCCAGCACG
This 510-nucleotide ribosomal RNA is filed under the name uncultured bacterium. RNAcentral's name for it is "bacterial SSU rRNA". It matches the Rfam family "Bacterial small subunit ribosomal RNA", at positions 9 to 515 of the family's 1533-position model. The record is from RNAcentral.